AUUGAACGCUGGCGGCAUGCUUUACACAUGCAAGUCGAACGGUAACAGGCCUUCGGGUGCUGACGAGUGGCGAACGGGUGAGUAAUGCAUCGGAACGUGCCCAAUCGUGGGGGAUAACGUAGCGAAAGUUACGCUAAUACCGCAUAAGCCCUGAGGGGGAAAGCAGGGGAUCGCAAGACCUUGCGCGAAUGGAGCGGCCGAUGUCAGAUUAGCUAGUUGGUGGGGUAAAGGCCUACCAAGGCGACGAUCUGUAGCGGGUCUGAGAGGAUGAUCCGCCACACUGGGACUGAGACACGGCCCAGACUCCUACGGGAGGCAGCAGUGGGGAAUUUUGGACAAUGGGCGCAAGCCUGAUCCAGCCAUGCCGCGUGAGUGAAGAAGGCCUCGGUGU
RNAcentral lists this ribosomal RNA (391 nucleotides) under uncultured bacterium. RNAcentral describes it as "bacterial SSU rRNA". It matches the Rfam family "Bacterial small subunit ribosomal RNA", at positions 30 to 423 of the family's 1533-position model. The record is from RNAcentral.